This 597-nucleotide long non-coding RNA is filed under the name Physcomitrium patens. RNAcentral describes it as "long non-coding RNA (PPAT_LNC000356)". Lineage: Eukaryota; Viridiplantae; Streptophyta; Bryopsida; Funariales; Funariaceae. The record is from RNAcentral.
UUAGGAUUUGAUUAGGAUUUUUUUAGGAUUUAAAAUUUGAUUUAGGAUUAAGAUUAGGAUUUUGAUUUGAUUUAAGCUUGACUAGGAUUUGACUAGGAUUUGUCUAGGAUUUGCUUAGGACUUAUUUAGGAUUUGUUUAGGAUUUGACUAAAGUUUAUUUAAGGAGUGACUAGGAUUUAUUUAGGAUUUGACUAGGAUUUAUUUAAGAUUUGAUUAAGAUUUAUUUAAGAUCUAUCUAGGAUUUAUUUAGGAUUUGAUUAGAAUUUGGUUAAGAUUUUUUUAAGAUUUGAUUAGAAUUCAAUUAGGAUUUGAUAAAGAUUUGUCUUAGAUUUGAUUAGGGCAUAUUUAGGAUUUUUUUAAUAUUUGAUUAGGAUUUAUUUAGGAUUUGAUUAAGAUUUUUUAAAAAUUUGAUUAGGAUUUGAUAAUAAUUUGAUUAGGAUUUUAUUAGAAUUUAUUUAGGAUUUGAUUAAGAUUUGUCUAGAAUUUGGUUAGAAUUUCUUUAGGAUUUCUUUAGGAUUUGAUUAAGGUUUGACUAAGGAUUGACUAAGAUUUGACCAAGAUUUGAUUAAAUUUUAAGUAAAAUUUAAUUAAGAUUUU